CCUACGGGAGGCAGCAGUAGGGAAUCUUCCACAAUGGACGCAAGUCUGAUGGAGCAACGCCGCGUGAGGGAUGAAGGGCUUCGGCUCGUAAAGCUCUGUUGGUAGGGAGGAAAGAUAGGGGUAGUAACUCGCAUUUAUUUGACGGUAAUUACUUAGAAAGUCACGGCUAACUACGUGCCAGCAGCCGCGGUAAUACGUAGGGGGCAAGCGUUGUCCGGAUUUAUUGGGCGUAAAGCGAGUGCAGGCGGUACAAUAAGUCUGAUGUGAAAGCCCUCGGCUCAACCGGAGAAUUGCAUCAGAAACUGUUGAACUUGAGUGCAGAAGAGGAGAGUGGAACUCGAGGUGUAGCGGUGGAAUGCGUAGAUAUAUGGAAGAACACCAGUGGCGAAGGCGGCUCUCCGGUCCGCAACUGACGCUGAGGCUCGAAAGCAUGGGUAGCGAACAGGAUUAGAUACCCUUGUAGUC
RNAcentral lists this ribosomal RNA (465 nucleotides) under uncultured bacterium. Its description in RNAcentral is "partial 16S ribosomal RNA". It matches the Rfam family "Bacterial small subunit ribosomal RNA", at positions 338 to 795 of the family's 1533-position model. The record is from RNAcentral.